This 848-nucleotide ribosomal RNA is filed under the name uncultured Staphylococcus sp. Its description in RNAcentral is "bacterial SSU rRNA". It matches the Rfam family "Bacterial small subunit ribosomal RNA", at positions 51 to 880 of the family's 1533-position model. Lineage: Bacteria; Bacillati; Bacillota; Bacilli; Caryophanales; Staphylococcaceae. The record is from RNAcentral.
AUACAUGCAAGUCGAGCGAACAGACGAGGAGCUUGCUUCUCUGACGUUAGCGGCGGACGGGUGAGUAACACGUGGAUAACCUACCUAUAAGACUGGGAUAACUUCGGGAAACCGGAGCUAAUACCGGAUAAUAUAUUGAACCGCAUGGUUCAAUAGUGAAAGACGGUUUUGCUGUCACUUAUAGAUGGAUCCGCGCCGCAUUAGCUAGUUGGUAAGGUAACGGCUUACCAAGGCAACGAUGCGUAGCCGACCUGAGAGGGUGAUCGGCCACACUGGAACUGAGACACGGUCCAGACUCCUACGGGAGGCAGCAGUAGGGAAUCUUCCGCAAUGGGCGAAAGCCUGACGGAGCAACGCCGCGUGAGUGAUGAAGGUCUUCGGAUCGUAAAACUCUGUUAUUAGGGAAGAACAAAUGUGUAAGUAACUAUGCACGUCUUGACGGUACCUAAUCAGAAAGCCACGGCUAACUACGUGCCAGCAGCCGCGGUAAUACGUAGGUGGCAAGCGUUAUCCGGAAUUAUUGGGCGUAAAGCGCGCGUAGGCGGUUUUUUAAGUCUGAUGUGAAAGCCCACGGCUCAACCGUGGAGGGUCAUUGGAAACUGGAAAACUUGAGUGCAGAAGAGGAAAGUGGAAUUCCAUGUGUAGCGGUGAAAUGCGCAGAGAUAUGGAGGAACACCAGUGGCGAAGGCGACUUUCUGGUCUGUAACUGACGCUGAUGUGCGAAAGCGUGGGGAUCAAACAGGAUUAGAUANCCUGGUAGUCCACGCCGUAAACGAUGAGUGCUAAGUGUUAGGGGGUUUCCGCCCCUUAGUGCUGCAGCUAACGCAUUAAGCACUCCGCCUGGGGAG